CGUUGAUAGGCAGGGUGUGUAAGUGCUGUGAGGCAUUGAGCUAACCUGUACUAAUUGCCCGUGAGGCUUAACCAU
This is a ribosomal RNA of Vibrio sp. qd031, 75 nucleotides long. It matches the Rfam family "Bacterial large subunit ribosomal RNA", at positions 2851 to 2925 of the family's 2925-position model. NCBI's taxonomy places the organism in Bacteria, Pseudomonadati, Pseudomonadota, Gammaproteobacteria, Vibrionales, Vibrionaceae. The record is from Rfam.